RNAcentral lists this ribosomal RNA (1454 nucleotides) under uncultured organism. Its description in RNAcentral is "SSU rRNA". It matches the Rfam family "Bacterial small subunit ribosomal RNA". The record is from RNAcentral.
UGAACGCUAGCUACAGGCUUAACACAUGCAAGUCGAGGGGCAGCAUGGUCUUAGCUUGCUAAGGCCGAUGGCGACCGGCGCACGGGUGAGUAACGCGUAUCCAACCUGCCUUACACUCUUGGACAGCCUUCUGAAAGGGAGAUUAAUACAAGAUGUUAUCAUGAGUAAGCAUUUUCGCAUGAUUAAAGGUUUACCGGUGUAAGAUGGGGAUGCGUUCCAUUAGAUAGUAGGCGGGGUAACGGCCCACCUAGUCUUCGAUGGAUAGGGGUUCUGAGAGGAAGGUCCCCCACAUUGGAACUGAGACACGGUCCAAACUCCUACGGGAGGCAGCAGUGAGGAAUAUUGGUCAAUGGACGAGAGUCUGAACCAGCCAAGUAGCGUGAAGGAUGAAGGUUCUAUGGAUUGUAAACUUCUUUUAUACGGGAAUAAACGAAUCCACGCGUGGAUUUUUGCAUGUACCGUAUGAAUAAGGAUCGGCUAACUCCGUGCCAGCAGCCGCGGUAAUACGGAGGAUCCGAGCGUUAUCCGGAUUUAUUGGGUUUAAAGGGAGCGUAGAUGGGUUGUUAAGUCAGUUGUGAAAGUUUGCGGCUCAACCGUAAAAUCGCAAUUGAUACUGGCAGUCUUGAGUACAGUUGAGGUAGGCGGAAUUCGUGGUGUAGCGGUGAAAUGCUUAGAUAUCACGAAGAACUCCGAUUGCGAAGGCAGCUUACUAACCUGUAACUGACAUUGAUGCUCGAAAGUGUGGGUAUCAAACAGGAUUAGAUACCCUGGUAGUCCACACGGUAAACGAUGAAUACUCGCUGUAGGCGAUAUACAGUCUGCGGCCAAGCGAAAGCAUUAAGUAUUCCACCUGGGGAGUACGCCGGCAACGGUGAAACUCAAAGGAAUUGACGGGGGCCCGCACAAGCGGAGGAACAUGUGGUUUAAUUCGAUGAUACGCGAGGAACCUUACCCGGGCUUAAAUUGCAACCGAAUAUGGCGGAAACGCUAUAGCUAGCAAUAGCGGUUGUGAAGGUGCUGCAUGGUUGUCGUCAGCUCGUGCCGUGAGGUGUCGGCUUAAGUGCCAUAACGAGCGCAACCCUUGCCGAUAGUUACUAACAGGUCAUGCUGAGGACUCUGUCGGGACUGCCAUCGUAAGAUGUGAGGAAGGUGGGGAUGACGUCAAAUCAGCACGGCCCUUACGUCCGGGGCUACACACGUGUUACAAUGGGGGGUACAGAGGGCUGCUACCACGCAAGUGGAUGCCAAUCCCAAAAACCUCUCUCAGUUCGGAUUGAAGUCUGCAACCCGACUUCAUGAAGCUGGAUUCGCUAGUAAUCGCGCAUCAGCCACGGCGCGGUGAAUACGUUCCCGGGCCUUGUACACACCGCCCGUCAAGCCAUGGGAGCCGGGGGUACCUGAAGUGCGUAACCGCAAGGAGCGCCCUAGGGUAAAACUGGUGACUGGGGCUAAGU